RNAcentral lists this ribosomal RNA (365 nucleotides) under uncultured bacterium. Its description in RNAcentral is "bacterial SSU rRNA". It matches the Rfam family "Bacterial small subunit ribosomal RNA", at positions 976 to 1337 of the family's 1533-position model. The record is from RNAcentral.
CAGGUUGGACAUGCAAGUAGUAAGAACCUGAAAGGGGGAUGAGCCCGCAAGGGCAGCUUGCUCAGGUGCUGCAUGGCUGUCGUCAGCUCGUGCCGUGAGGUGUUGGGUUAAGUCCCGCAACGAGCGUAACCCCUGUCUUCAGUUGCCAUCGGGUCAUGCCGGGCACUCUGGAGAGACUGCCCAGGAUAACGGGGAGGAAGGUGGGGAUGACGUCAAGUCAUCAUGGCCUCUAUGUCCAGGGCUACACACGUGCUACAAUGGGCGGCACAAAGGGCUGCGAUACCGCGAGGUGGAGCCAAUCCCAAAAAGCCGUCCCCAGUUCGGAUUGCAGUCUGCAACUCGACUGCAUGAAGGUGGAAUCGCUA